Molecule: ribosomal RNA, 110 nt
Filed under: Amphora coffeiformis
Lineage: Eukaryota; Bacillariophyta; Bacillariophyceae; Surirellales; Surirellaceae
Description: partial Bacterial small subunit ribosomal RNA
Source: RNAcentral
AACGAUACCGACCAGACAAAGUCGCACAUCAAAUACGCAACCACGUUCACCGCAAACAUUGUAAAGGGGGUUCUUUGCCGGAUAUGGAAAUAUACCCUUUUGCAAACCUC